UACGGGAGGCAGCAGUGGGGAAUAUUGCACAAUGGGCGCAAGCCUGAUGCAGCCAUGCCGCGUGUAUGAAGAAGGCCUUCGGGUUGUAAAGUACUUUCAGCGGGGAGGAAGGGAGUAAAGUUAAUACCUUUGCUCAUUGACGUUACCCGCAGAAGAAGCACCGGCUAACUCCGUGCCAGCAGCCGCGGUAAUACGGAGGGUGCAAGCGUUAAUCGGAAUUACUGGGCGUAAAGCGCACGCAGGCGGUUUUGUUAAGUCAGAUGUGAAAUCCCCGGGCUCAACCUGGGAACUGCAUCUGAUACUGGCAAGCUUGAGUCUCGUAGAGGGGGUAGAAUUCCAGGUGUAGCGGUGAAAUGCGUAGAGAUCUGGAGGAAUACCGGUGGCGAAGGCGGCCCCUGGGACGAGACUGACGCUCAGGUGCGAAAGCUGGGGAGCAAACAGGAUUAGGAUACC
Molecule: ribosomal RNA, 453 nt
Filed under: uncultured bacterium
Lineage: Bacteria
Description: bacterial SSU rRNA
Rfam family: Bacterial small subunit ribosomal RNA
Source: RNAcentral